GCAAAGUUUUAUCCUGGCUUAUUCUUUCAUUUUUAGGUUAAAGGUACAUGUAAGAUCUAUCGGGCCAAUAAGUGUUUAAAUAGUUUAAAUAAUGUUGAAUGUUUAUAAAAUAGAGGGGUCAUUAAAAGUUAAAGUCUCAGUACCUAGUGCUAAUUAAAUAAAUGUAAGUUGGAAUUGGUAAUCCUAAUCUUGUGCGUCUGGCUAAAAUUUGUGCCAGCAGCCGCGGUUAUACUGAGAGACGGAUUGAAAGAAAAUCGGUUAAAAAUAGUUAAAUAUUUAACUUAGAUAAAUUUAUAAGUCCAUACUGAUAAAAGGUGAAAUUAAUUUUUUAGUAUGUGGGGGGAUAAAAAAUGAAGUUUAAAUUGAAGCUAUUAAGAUAGAGGAAUGAACCAGGAUUAGAUACCCUGUUACACUUUAUUUAAAUGAUAAUUACCUGGGUACUAAGCAGUUAUUAUCUUGAAACUCAAAGGAUUUGGCGGUAACCUAGUCUAUUUAGAGGAACCUGUCCUGUAAUCGAUAGUCCACGCAAUAUCUUGCUUUACCUUGUAGAAAACAGUUUGUAUACCGUCAUUAUUAGAUAACUUUAAAAAAUCAUAGAGUUAUUGUAAUAGUUUAGCUAGUAAAUUAGAUCAAGGUGCAGCUUAUGGUAGAGUAGAGAUGGGUUACAAUAUAAUAGGCAUACACGGAGUAAUAAAUGAAUAUUUAUUAUGAAGGUGGAUUUAAGAGUAAGAAGAUUUUAAUAAGAUCUUUUGACUUUAGCUCUAGGUUAUGUACACAUCGCCCGUCGCUCUCGUUAAUUAAAGCGAGAUAAGUCGUAACAUAGUAGGUGUACUGGAAAGUGUACCUAGAAAUU
RNAcentral lists this non-coding RNA (853 nucleotides) under Penaeus japonicus. RNAcentral describes it as "l-rRNA". The stretch from base 436 to 847 matches the Rfam family "Microsporidia small subunit ribosomal RNA", at positions 752 to 1303 of the family's 1311-position model. Lineage: Eukaryota; Metazoa; Arthropoda; Malacostraca; Decapoda; Penaeidae. The record is from RNAcentral.